UUUGUAGAACAUCUGUUUCAAAUGCCAAAAUCAUAUUAUUGUGUCAGCUCAGCCAAGUAAGUGGGAAGCAAAUUUCAAUUAAUAGUUAACUCAGAAUUCAUCUUCUUGAAAUGCAACCAACUAUGGUAUUCAAUAUAAAUCAUACUUCUUUAUCUAAUAAAUAGAAUCAAUGAUUUAACAACCAAAACUGAAAUAAUUAAAUAUUGAAAAAGAGAAGUUUAAAAUCAUUAGAUGCAUAAAUAAUAAUGAUAGAAAACCUUAUAAUAUAAGCAAAAGGCAAUAAAAGCAAGGACCAAAUAAUGAAUUCCAAUUCCUGUACAGCAUUAGUAAUCCACACUAAAAGCUUGUGUGGUUGGCUGCUUUCUAAUGAUUUCACUCUAAAGAAGUAUGUGUUGCCGCUGAAGAAUCAAGAGUUGACACUGAAGGAGCAAUUGGGCUACCUGAUAAUCAUUGUUGGUGACAUUGCCUUAAGUCCCUUGAAGCACUGCAUUUCAAGAUGGUUUUCAGGCAGGUGGUAUUGAUAGGUUUCUGGAGUCUAUUGAUAAUAAAUAGGAAGGGGGCCAAACUCUUAUGCUCGGUCCGUUUUAGGAGCAGAAUUACCAUGUACAUGGCAAAUUGGAGGGAUAGGGUUCUCAUUUUUGGGAUAGUUAAGGGAUCAACACUCCCUUCCAGUUUUCAUUAACAAUGCAUUCACCCUUGUUUAGAUAGGAAUCAGUCCUAUCAGUACAUUCCUCAUAAGACAAUUAGUACAGGGUGUAUCCCUCUGUGCCUUUGGCAACAAAGUGCGGUGAGGAGUAUAGGGUGUGUGCAAAAUCUCUAAAUUA
RNAcentral lists this long non-coding RNA (824 nucleotides) under Medicago truncatula (barrel medic). RNAcentral's name for it is "long non-coding RNA (MTRU_LNC000062)". The record is from RNAcentral. Lineage: Eukaryota; Viridiplantae; Streptophyta; Magnoliopsida; Fabales; Fabaceae.